This is a non-coding RNA of Pogona vitticeps (central bearded dragon), 375 nucleotides long. Lineage: Eukaryota; Metazoa; Chordata; Lepidosauria; Squamata; Agamidae. The record is from RefSeq and is a predicted model, not a curated record.
CGCAGACAGACGUUUUCGUUCCAUCCGGAUCAUGUCAGUGUCGUUCAGAGGCAGUAAUUUAUUUUUUUAUUGUGGGGAUGUGGGUUUCCGAAAGGUCAGUUUGCUGCCGCCGUAGAACUCGUAAAGUUUUGUGUGGGGAUGAGCGAUGCUGCCUCUUAUUUCUGGGUCUGCAUUACCUGUAGGUCUCUGCCCCAAAGGGCCACCAUGCAGGGGGGAAAAAAGGUCAAGAGCGUAUGCAAAUCAGAAGCGCUAUCUGAGCCAGUGUCUUCCUUAUAAUUAACAGUAUUAACAAUGUUCUUCGUGUUUUGGAGAGUAAGAUUUUAUGAAACCAUAUUCUUCCUCUAAGCAAUAAACUUUAGUUAUCUGAAUGGGAAA